Folsomia candida is the source of this 3798-nucleotide long non-coding RNA. RefSeq lists it as uncharacterized. The transcript is spliced from 4 exons. The record is from RefSeq and is a predicted model, not a curated record. NCBI's taxonomy places the organism in Eukaryota, Metazoa, Arthropoda, Collembola, Entomobryomorpha, Isotomidae.
CGCUAAGUACACACAGAGUUUGUUGCAUCAACUCCGUCUGGCCCUUUUCUCCGAACUUCUACCUGCACAAGUUUGUGCCUACUACCAAAAAACCAACCACAAAACACACUCGGUCGCUGCAUGGAGAAAUUUAUAAAAUUUCUUAUCACCCAAUUUUAUAAUGGGAAUUAAAUCUCGACACCAAUUAAGAGACGGAGAGAGAGAGAGAGAGGAAUAGUGAGACAUGAUAUUUGCCAGAAGACCACCAGAAUUUACUCGCUGUAAUCAGACUUAUUUAACUUGUGGGGAUAAUGUCUGCCAGGAAAUGGCAUGGGCAACAGCAAACCAAAAAUCUCACGCGAACUAAGAAAUUGGAAAGUUUCUGUAAAAAAUUACGAUGCGGACCUCGUGCUAUUCAUUCGUCACAUGAAAGUAAUUUUACCGAGUUAUCCAAUUACCGCACCACCACUAAACUACCAUAAAUUCAGCCUCUGGAUGGAUGGAUGGAUGGACGAUGAAUCUGCAGACGUCAUGUGAUUUGUGACCGUUCUAAUGGGCAUAAUUAUUAAUACCUGCUCGUCAGUUCGUUCAUGAAUCAUAAUGUCUGCCCAAUCUUCACACAAACGCAAAAAAAAAUUAUCCCCACCCACCGGAACAAUUAAGCCAUUUAUUAGUUUUAAAUAUUUACCAACUAUUUAAUAAGUAAUUAAACUCGUUCUAAUUUUGUACAAAUAAAAUAUUUAAAAAAGAAUAUCGCAACAUGUUUGUACAAUGUUUUUAUUUCUCCAUGUAUGUAAAAUAAUGGUCCAGUUUCCUUCCGCAUACAUAUUUGCAUAUUACAUACGAACGGAAUUAUCAAGUUAUGCGGUAUGUCACUUCAAGCCGGAAACCGUCAUUUACUUACUUUUACAUUUAAAAAAACUAUGUAACUGGAUUCAAUAACCUCAUAAAAAAAUUAGCCAAUUCUCAACGUCCCAUGAUGCACGUAUUAUUUGUCGAAAAUGAAUCGUUAAUAAAUGGUAACAGAAAAAAAUUAGCUGUAACCGGAGCCUCGAGAUUUUGGGUUUCUAUCUCAAGUGGCUGGAAAACCAUGCUCAACACACUCACCAACAUAUCCCGUUUGUCUUUAAGAGUUCGAAUUUCAUACGGAUUUUAUUAUGCAACAAUUCGUCGUCACCCUCUUUUUUUCAGCGUCACGUCCACGUCCACAUCCACUCCACUCCAGAGGGUAUUUACUUAUUGAAACAAAUUGAGAAAGCGUGUCCAUGGGGGAAAGUGCGACGUGAAUGAAGGCCGUUCCUACUGAUUAAGCAACAAUGCAGACGAGUCAACUACUUAACAAUGCCGGAGAUGGGUAAUAAUGGACUUGGUCAUUAAUGACGAAAUGAGAGUGUCAAUUGGGAGCUUAAUGAGUCAUUUCCCACGCGGUCAUUUGAUCCAUAUUAAGAUAACGGGAGGAGAAGGGGGGCAAACAGUUUUCUAAUUAUGGGACACUCUGCACAGCUUAUCGUCACUCUGGGCUUGAUGAAUGCAUCCAAUGUGUGUCAUCCCUUCCAUGAAGUGAGGGGCCCUGACGCAUAAAUUUCCUAUUAUUAACCCACCAGAAGGCUGCCUUAAUUACAUGCGUGUAUUUAUUUAUCCACAUGCUUGACACGAGGCACAUGCUGUUCUUCCUUCCUUCGUCUUGUUCUUUUUUUACAGAGCCGGGCCAUAAAAAAAUGCUUGCCUGCAUAAAUUUGUGACCCGUUUAGAGCGUGAAAAGGACUCCAUUAAGUAACGAUCGUUAAACAAUUUGUCCCUUUUAUGACACUUCAUUAAAUCACCUGCUCCCUGAAAAGGUGGGCAUAUUACAAGUGGUUGAGGGGCCAGGUGGGUAAGGCAGCGUGGAAAUAAGGGUCGUUCACGGGUAAAAUAUGUGCAAGGGACACGUGAGAUCAUAACAUGUUGAUGUGACAAAUAUUAAUUAUUUACUUAUGUACACGCAUUUAACUAACUAACUGACUGAUUGGCUGGAGGAGUGGAUGAACUUUGGGUAGAAAUUAGGGAAAUGUACGGACGGAUGUGUAUGUAAAUACGCAUGUUUCUCUCUUCCUCCUAUAAACUAAACUAAUAAUUGCAUUCUAAUUAUCUCUCUUAAAUCCUAGAGUUGUGUUUACUUUUCCAUCCCACAUAAAAUGGGAGGUUGGCUGGUCAAGGAGUCGUCAUUUACGGUCGAGAGGGUGACGAGUAGGACUUGGAUAGAUUUUCAGGAAGGUUGAAACGUUUCCAAAUUUUGUGAGACGAGGAAAUUUGUGAGGAAUCGGGAAAUUUCAGUGGAGAAUUGUUCGAGCUAGAUACACAUGUGGGACAACACACCGCAGGAUUUGUAGUAUCCAUAUUUUCCAAACAAAUUGCAUCCUCCGUACCUCAAAUGCUCGGCUCAUUCAACAGGUGAAACUGUUCAGAGAGAGACACUCACACACGUCACAUUCAGAGACGCACAAAGUCCACAGUUUCAUUUACAUCAGGACGGAGGAUUUCCAUAUUUUAGGAAUCUUUCGGAGUGAAUCUGAUCAGGCGUUUUCUUGGAUUGAAGAUCAUCUCAUCUGUCACCACCACUAUUUCAAUCGCAUCUCAUCUCAUCGGAUGGAGGGGAGAGGAACAGACAUGCACGUAAGUAAUGCACGAAUAACUGACAGCCCUGUCAGAAACGUUGGUAUGCAGUUGAAUUUUUAAUCGUAAUCAUUCAAGGUGUGUGGUUUUUAUAAGUUAAAAAUUCAAUUCAUGGAUGAUGAUGGAGGCAUCAUUUGACUCCUUGAUUUGUGCACAAUCAAUCUGCCAGGAUUUCUUAAUCGGGGAGAAAGUCGGGGUCGGAUGAUAUAUUUUUUUCCGUUACGUCACACCUUCUCACCUUUCGGAGAGGCAAUGUCCCCUAAAAUUUAGCAUUUAUUGCGGAUUAACUACCUUUUGUUCACCCGUGUCGUCGCGGUGGUGGCACUUCUCGGAAAAGUUUUGAUUUCUCAUUUUCUUGCAACUCGGCCAGGAAGUGGAAUGUGUGUGCAGGACUUGCGAAGCGAAAUGCGAAUAGCCUCGUGUAUUUACAUACGUGGCUGGGUAAAAAAAUGCCGUGCAAUAAAUAAAGUGAGGAUGGACGGCGUGCAAUGGUUGGUCAACUCGUGGCCUGGACUGGACUGGACUGAUUGCAAUCAAUCACAACUUGGCGUAUUUUUUAUCAUUGGGUAGGAAAAAAUGAACAGUUAAUUCAUACAUAUUCCUAGUUCAUGGAGAAGAAAAUAGGUAAAGCGUCGCUGCUCCGUCUGUUUUGUGGUGACUGAAUUUUGUGUGAAAAACAUGUGGUUUUGGUGUAUGUGUGGCAUUUUCUGUUUAUUUUGCACAGGUAAAUAUGCACAAGUGGAGGCUGGCUUAUUACGGACCAUUUGCGUCGUGGGGAGAAAGCAGGCGAGGAGGAGGAUGUAAUGGAAAUAGAGGUGGCUAAGUAGUAGCGCCGCAGGUGAUGGUGUCUUAUUUUCACCUGUAGCAUACUACUUGUCUCUGGUUGUUUCACACUCGUCCGUCCAAGAUGACGCCUUUCUCUGGAGGAAAAGUCCCCUCCAGUGACCGCGGAAGCCGUGGGGACAUCUGGGGACAUUGCCCUUGUGGGAUGGGGUUUGUAUAACAUGGGGACAUCGAACAUCCGUGGGGACAUUGUCCCACGCUUCCUCCGCUAGGACGACGAUAAGUAGUCACCCAAGCCCAACUUGUACGUUCAUAUUUUAGUACCAACAAAAUUAAAUGUCUUGAUAAAAAUGGUUUUGAAAAUAAAUUUAUUUUGUAAAAAUA